UACGUAGGGUGCAAGCGUUAAUCGGAAUUACUGGGCGUAAAGCGUGCGCAGGCGGCUUUGCAAGACAGAUGUGGAAUCCCCGGGCUUAACCUGGGAACUGCAUUUGUGACUGCAUGGCUGGAGUGCGGCAGAGGGGGAUGGAAUUCCGCGUGUAGCAGUGAAAUGCGUAGAUAUGCGGAGGAACACCGAUGGCGAAGGCAAUCCCCUGGGCCUGCACUGACGCUCAUGCACGAAAGCGUGGGGAGCAAACAGG
RNAcentral lists this ribosomal RNA (253 nucleotides) under uncultured bacterium. RNAcentral's name for it is "partial 16S ribosomal RNA". It matches the Rfam family "Bacterial small subunit ribosomal RNA", at positions 524 to 776 of the family's 1533-position model. The record is from RNAcentral.